RNA transcript from Boleophthalmus pectinirostris (great blue-spotted mudskipper), 1833 nucleotides. It is a transcript of the gene named membrane-associated ring finger (C3HC4) 7, with no coding region annotated. The record is from RefSeq and is a predicted model, not a curated record. NCBI's taxonomy places the organism in Eukaryota, Metazoa, Chordata, Actinopteri, Gobiiformes, Gobiidae. The transcript is spliced from 2 exons.
GAAUAGAAUGAAGUGUUAAAUAAAAAUGUUAAUAAAUGUUGGCUACACAAAGCGAAGCAAAGGAUUAUGGUCCAUGUAGUUCCAUGUACAAAUCAAUUGGCUGGCAGUGAGCUAAUUUUUGGAGUGCCAAGUAAAAUCCAAUACAUUGUCCAGUGCAAAAUUGAGCAUACGUGUCAUGUACAUAUUGACAUAUACAAUUUAAAAAUCCUCUUUAUCAUGCCUCUGCUGCAAUAUAUUCUCGGUUCACGGACUUAGUGUGUCAGCAUUUGACAUUUUGUGACGAAGCAUUGUUUUAUUGCUAUUAAAAUGACAUGGCUGUAGUCAGUAAUGUGUAUUGUAGAUUUUGAACGGUGAAAGACACAACUCUCCCCUUUCUCACCUAGUUAUUCAACCUGGUGAGAAUCCUUCAUGAACACAUGGACAGUCUUGAAAACAGGGAAGGUGAGAGGCGGGAUACUCGGCCGUCUAUUGAGUUUUCCGACCUGGAUGACGAUUUGGAGGAAUAUUAAGAUGGUGGAAACAGGAAGUUGGAUACAGAGGCAUAUCUCAUUUCACUUUCCUCGCUUCCUUCUCCUCGAUUCCUCUCCUCGAUCCUCCAUUUUUCAGCUGUCAGUCAAAUGCGCCAGAUUAAGUGGUGUCCCGAAAGCUCAGAAGAGACAAGUGAAGGAACCCACAGAGGAAACAUGAGGGGGGGUUCAGGAGGCAGACAUCAGAUAAAAUGAUGAAACUAUAUUUGUCUCACUGUGAGGAGCUUGUAUUGUUGAGAGUGAAGAGUGAAAGUACAGAGAUGGCAGCAAAGGAUUUUAGACAUGUUGCAUUAUUCAGAAUUUGAUAAUAAAACUAAUAAAAAAAAACAUGUUAAAACACAUUUAUCUGAAACCAAAGAUUUAAAGGUGCACUAUGUAACUUUUUAGUUGAGGGUUUGUCACCUGCUUGUUUCUAUGGAUACGUCACUUCUCUGCCUGAAAUGUUCCACAGUAUGACAUUAAAUGGCUCUACCUUACUUUUAUUGCUCAUAAACACCUAGAAAUUAGACAGUCUGACAGUGAGCGGAGUUGCUCUGUUGUUGGUUUGUUUUCCAAGAAGAUGAAAAGAUUUAAUGCCAUACUGUGAAACAUUCCAGACAAAGUAAUAACAUCUCCAUGAAGAAAAGUAUUUGAUGCACCUUCCACCAGAAAAGGUACACAAUACCUUUAACUUUUAAAAAGUUCUGGAUUAGUAAUAUUAUAAAGUAAUCCUCUAAUAUUGUAAAGUCAUUUUGGUCUCCCUCCUCUGCUCCUUUCCUCUUCUGCUCCUCUCUCCUUCCUGUGUCUCCUCUGCAUCUGGGGCUUCCGUCUUCAUGAAUUCUUUCCUCCAUUGUGCAGGAAAGUGGUGAGGAAAUGAGGAAAGAGAAAUGGGACGCAGCCAGAGAGUUUGACACACGCUUUGACCCAAUCUACAGUGGCCGAGGAGGACACUGGGUGCACAAAACAUGCCUUUGCUGCUGCCGCUGGUUUUUGCUUUAUAUGCAAACUAAACAUGGGUGUUGAUUGAUUGAAACGGCUGUAUUAUUUGAGUGCACUUUAUUCUGUUAUAAUUAAGUAUAAAUGCAAACUUUUAAUUGUUAAACCACAAGUGCUUUAAGCUAAUAAAUUGUUAUGUGACAAACUUUUAAUUGGUUCAGAAUAUUAAGUCUAUAAUUGUUUUCUUGUCUUGUUCUCUCAUACAUUUACAUGAGCAACAACAAUCAACACCUCCUUAACUUUCUGUUUAUUUACAAUGCUGUAUCCUAUGUACCUAUGUACAAAUCUAGUUUCAUGCAAUAUUUUGAGAAUAAAGAUUUGACAAUGACUA